CGGGAGGCCGUGAGGUGGGCGACACGGAGGGGCCGUCAGGGGGCGGUGGGAGUGUGGCCUUUCAGGCCGGGCAUGGAGAUGGUGACGGGACAGCCAAGGUCCUGACAAGGUGUGUGAGCAAGAAGGAAGCUGACGGAGAGGAGAGGAAGCCGGCACACGGAGCGGCAGGGGCAGGAAUGUAGCCACCGAGCUUCCUCUUAUGACCCAGACGAAGAGACAGAGGCCAGAUACUUCCUCGCAUCGGCAACAAUGAAAAACAUUGAGGAAUGUGAGGUGAGAGCCUGGCCACCGGGGCGGGGCGGGGGGGGGGGGGGGGGGGAAGAAGGGUGUUGCCUGAGAAACGGAGGCAGGCCUGCCACGGCCUGUCCUGCAGCAGGACCGGGGUCCUUCCUCCUCCGCGCAGGCUCCGGGCCGUGUCCCUUCACCUGCCCUGGGUGGUGACAGCCCACGGCGCCCCCCAGCCCCUCCGCCCUGCGGUCCCCACGCCCUGUCCUCAGCUUUGCCAGUGGUCCUUUUGUGCAGCUCCCCCCAGAGCCCCCGGAUUGAAGGACCACCGUCCCGGGCCCCCAGGAUGCCUGACAACACGCCCUCCACUCGCUUAGGGAGCCCUUCAAAAUUCACUUCUCCAAGUGCACGAUCCUAUUUGUGGAGCAGAGCUCGCAAAACCCGGAAUCUGGCUGAAGCUGGCGGCUUUUGGGAAUCCCUGUCCCGGCUCAGAGGCGUUAACGUUCACCGGGGUCGGGCCCCCGUCGUCUGGGGCGGGCAGAGCUCUGCUGAACUCCGGGACCCUGGCAGGCCCCUCCGUCUCUUAGGGUUUAAUUUCCUUUGAAAAGUCAGGGUGGGUUGGAGUCCUCACCAAUAAUAAAAGGAGCAAAACCACGAACAGCCUGCUGCCACAGCAGCCCAGCCUCCCCCCUGCGCUGCCCGCCACGCUAUCUUUGUGCUCGUGCAGGUACGUGUGAGCGCUUCCUGGAGGUGUUUGUGAGGCCAGCGGGGUGGCCAGCGUCAGGGGUGGUGCGCCGUGGGGGAGGGACAGUUCCACACGGACCCUGUUUUCUGUGCUGUUGUCCCUGAAAUAGAACGGCCCGAUCCUGUCCAGUUCGCAUCCCGGCGGCUUCACCUCCCGGAGGGUUCCUGGCCGCGAAGGAAGGACUUCCCUUGUCCCCUGGUUUCCUUACCAGGCUUCCUCAGACCCCACUCAGGGGAAUGCCGGCUUGGCAGGAAGACACAAGCGGCCAAGGUCUUUCUGGCCGCGGGCCCCGCGUCGGUCCUUGCGGUUCCUGCUCAGUGACUGGACGGGACGUGGCCUCACAGGCCCACAGAGGCUGCGCGGUGUCUCCUCUCGCCCAGUCAUCCCUCCCUCAGGCCCGCUUCCUCAAAGCGCGUGGGGAAUGGCGGGGGAAGGGUGCAUCCUGCCAGGGAUCACGCGUUCAGCUCAUCCUGUCACCGUAAGGAACAGGAGGGUGGAAGGUGUAGGGGGUCCUCGGGAGUCGCACGGGUCUGCCUUCAAGCCUCGUGUCGGCCCCUAACUAGCUGUAAACUUGGAACACACUUAGCGAUCGGGGAACUGACUGCAUAUAUGACCUUCUAAUUAAAUGUAAGACACCCAGGUCACUCUGAAUGGCCAAGAAACAAUGAAUGACUUUUUUGGUACAGCAUGGGACACCCUUUUAUAAAAACGGUUUGUUGUUUACCUAGAAUUCAAAGUUACCCGGGUCUCCUGCAUUUUCCUGGCUGUCUCCGCGAGCCCGGCUGUAUACCGUGUGGCUGGCACACGGCCAGGGUUGCCUCCCCUACGCGGACUCAUUCGACAAAUACCGCGAGUCCACGGUGGGCCAGGCCCUGGGGAUGCAGCGGGGAGCAAGACGGUGCCCGUUUCCUGUGGCUCCUGAAACAAACACCACGGAUUUAGUGGUUUAAAUGAUACAUGUGCUCUCCUACGGUCUGGAGGUCGCAGAUAUGGCGUCGUCUCACUGGGCUAAAAUCAAGGCACUUACAGGGCUGGCUCCUUCGGGAAGGUCGAGGCGAGACUCUGGUUCCCGGCCUUUUCCAGCCCCCGGAGGCGCCGCAUCCUGGCCUGUCCACCACCUUCACGGCCCGCCGGAGUGGGUCCAGUCCUCUCCCACUUCCAACUUCCACGACCCUGCUCUCUUCCGUCCCCUUCUUCCGCUUCCAAGGACCCCCGUGGUUACCUCGGGGACACCAAGUGUUCCGGCACAAGCUCCCGGGUUCAAGGUCAGCUGAUUAGCAGCCCCAGCUGCCCUGUGCCUCAGGGGACGGCCUCUUCGCAGGCUCCGGGGACCAGGACGUGACGUCUCCCAGGGUCUUCACUCUGCUAACAGUCUCUGAUCGCACAGAGCUCACGUCCGGGGCGGGAGAGGCAGGCCAUCAACAAGCCACAACGCAGGGCCCCCUCCUCCUCGGCUUGUGCGUGCCCAGCCCUCCCCCAACCCAGGGGCCCCUGGCACGAUCUCAGCUUGCGGGUCACAGAGUCAAAAUCCGAACUCGAGACACAGACUAAAUAAAAACAGGCAAUGCUGGAAAGGAAAAGCAGGGUGACCGGCUGGCCUUCCCGAAGCUGGAUGCCAGCCUCGCCGGGAAGCCCGCCUCGGGGCGCAAACCGAGGAGAAUGAGUGUGGGGGCCACCAAAACGCACGUGCUGGUGCGUGCGGGCCGUGUGCCUCCUGACCGCCAACGACCAGAAACCGCUCAAAGGCCCUUCAUAGCUAAACAAGUGAAUGCGAUGCAAUAUAUCGACGCAAGAACGAACAUCUCCUGCUGCGCACGGGAACGCGGCUGGUUAACGUGCCGCGGACGGGACGUACCGCCAAGCCGACAGGCGACCCGGAUCCGCGCUCCAACCGUGUGGGUGUCGG
RNAcentral lists this long non-coding RNA (2876 nucleotides) under Lynx pardinus (Iberian lynx). The record is from RNAcentral. Lineage: Eukaryota; Metazoa; Chordata; Mammalia; Carnivora; Felidae.